AUAAUCCGCUCUCUUCACUGAGAUUUUUUCCUCUCUCCAAGCACCCUUUUCCCGCUUUCAUUGUUACCUGAUUUUCCGAGCAAUUUCGAUGUUGGUGAAGUAAUCAAGCUGUGAUUUUGAGUUGGUUUUGGUUUUGGUUUUAUCCUUUUCAGUUCAAGGUGAGCCGGAGUGACUAUGCAGUGCAGUAGCUACACACCCGUGUAUUGCCACACGGGGGAUCUGAAUUCGGUGCAGGUGGCUAUUCUUGGCACCUGUAUGGAGAAGAAAGAGGCUACACCGACACCAUUUUUGUGCCAUCGUCUGAUCAGUACGUAGGUUAUGACAAGGGAAUGGUGAAACAGAUCAUACAGAAUCACGAAGCCACGUUUAGGUUUCAGGUUCAGGAGCUGCACCGUUUACACGGAAGGCAGAGGGACUUGAUGGAUGAAAUGAGAGUGAGACGGCAUUUACUGUCUCAAACAUCAGAAUCAAUCUAUUCCUCGUCUCAUCCCGGG
Molecule: non-coding RNA, 494 nt
Organism: Salvia hispanica
Lineage: Eukaryota; Viridiplantae; Streptophyta; Magnoliopsida; Lamiales; Lamiaceae
Source: RefSeq, a predicted model, not a curated record